RNAcentral lists this ribosomal RNA (496 nucleotides) under uncultured bacterium. RNAcentral describes it as "partial 16S ribosomal RNA". It matches the Rfam family "Bacterial small subunit ribosomal RNA", at positions 28 to 506 of the family's 1533-position model. The record is from RNAcentral.
GAUGAACGCUGGCGGCGUGCCUAAUACAUGCAAGUCGAGCGAACAGGCGAGGAGCUUGCUCCUCUGACGUUAGCGGCGGACGGGUGAGUAACACGUGGAUAACCUACCUAUAAGACUGGGAUAACUUCGGGAAACCGGAGCUAAUACCGGAUAAUAUAUUGAACCGCAUGGUUCAAUAGUGAAAGACGGUUUUGCUGUCACUUAUAGAUGGAUCCGCGCCGCAUUAGCUAGUUGGUAAGGUAACGGCUUACCAAGGCAACGAUGCGUAGCCGACCUGAGAGGGUGAUCGGCCACACUGGAACUGAGACACGGUCCAGACUCCUACGGGAGGUAGCAGUAGGGAAUCUUCCGCAAUGGGCGAAAGCCUGACGGAGCAACGCCGCGUGAGUGAUGAAGGUCUUCGGAUCGUAAAACUCUGUUAUUAGGGAAGAACAAAUGUGUAAGUAACUAUGCACGUCUUGACGGUACCUAAUCAGAAAGCCACGGCUAACUACGG